RNAcentral lists this ribosomal RNA (150 nucleotides) under uncultured Bacillus sp. RNAcentral describes it as "partial 16S ribosomal RNA". It matches the Rfam family "Bacterial small subunit ribosomal RNA", at positions 381 to 523 of the family's 1533-position model. Lineage: Bacteria; Bacillati; Bacillota; Bacilli; Caryophanales; Bacillaceae. The record is from RNAcentral.
GUCUGACGGAGCNCGCCGCGUGAGUGAUGAAGGCUUUCGGGUCGUAAAACUCUGUUGUUAGGGAAGAACAAGUGCUAGUUGAAUAAGCUGGCACCUUGACGGUACCUAACCAGAAAGCCACGGCUAACUACGUGCCAGCAGCCGCGGUAA